UAGUCCACGCCCUAAACGAUGCUAACUCGAUGUUUGGGAUUUAUUUUUGAGCAUCCAAGCGAAAGCGAUAAGUUAGCCACCUGGGGAGUACGUCGGCAACGAUGAAACUCAAAGGAAUUGACGGGGGUCCGCACAAGCAGCGGAGCGUGUGGUUUAAUUCGAGGCUACGCGAAGAACCUUACCUGGGUUGGAAUACAUAGUGAACGAAUCCGAAAGGAGGAGGUCCUCGUAAGAGGCGCUAUGACAGGUGCUGCAUGGCUGUCGUCAGCUCGUGUCGUGAGAUGUUCGGUUAAGUCCGAAAACGAGCGCAACCCCUAGGUCUAGUUAUAAGUGUCUAGACCGACUGCCUCCGGCAAGGAGGAGGAAGGUGGGGAUGACGUCAAGUCAGCAUGGCCUUUAUGUCCAGGGCUACACACACGCUACAAUGGCGCGUACAAUAGGUUGCGAAGGCGCGAGCUGGAGCCAAUCCUGAAAAGCGCGUCGUAGUUCGGAUUGUAGG
RNAcentral lists this ribosomal RNA (499 nucleotides) under uncultured bacterium. RNAcentral's name for it is "bacterial SSU rRNA". It matches the Rfam family "Bacterial small subunit ribosomal RNA", at positions 791 to 1304 of the family's 1533-position model. The record is from RNAcentral.